UGCGUAGGCGGCUUACUAAGUCAGAUGUGAAAGCCCCGGGCUUAACCUGGGAACUGCAUUUGAUACUGGUAGGCUAGAGUAUGAUAGAGGGGGGUAGAAUUCCUGGUGUAGCGGUGAAAUGCGUAGAUAUCAGGAGGAAUACCAGUGGCGAAGGCGGCCCCCUGGAUCAAUACUGACGCUGAGGUACGAAAGCGUGGGUAGCGAACA
RNAcentral lists this ribosomal RNA (207 nucleotides) under uncultured bacterium. Its description in RNAcentral is "partial 16S ribosomal RNA". It matches the Rfam family "Bacterial small subunit ribosomal RNA", at positions 568 to 774 of the family's 1533-position model. The record is from RNAcentral.